RNAcentral lists this ribosomal RNA (1263 nucleotides) under Phytophthora sp. RNAcentral describes it as "eukaryotic LSU rRNA". It matches the Rfam family "Eukaryotic large subunit ribosomal RNA", at positions 65 to 1118 of the family's 3401-position model. RNAcentral also lists the same sequence under 2 other names. Lineage: Eukaryota; Oomycota; Peronosporomycetes; Peronosporales; Peronosporaceae. The record is from RNAcentral.
CUAACAAGGAUUCCCCUAGUAACGGCGAGUGAAGCGGGAAGAGCUCAAGCUUAAAAUCUCCGUGCAAGUUUUGCGCGGCGAAUUGUAGUCUAUAGAGGCGUGGUCAGCGUGGGCGCUUGGGGCAAGUUCCUUGGAAGAGGACAGCAUGGAGGGUGAUACUCCCGUUCAUCCCUGAGUGGCUCGUGCGUACGACCCGUGUUCUUUGAGUCGCGUUGUUUGGGAAUGCAGCGCAAAGUAGGUGGUAAAUUCCAUCUAAAGCUAAAUAUUGGUGCGAGACCGAUAGCGAACAAGUACCGUGAGGGAAAGAUGAAAAGAACUUUGAAAAGAGAGUUAAAGAGUACCUGAAACUGCUGAAAGGGAACCGAAUCGUUUCCAGUGUCUAUAAUCCGUGGCAUAUUUCAUUGGCGAGUGUGCGCGUGCGUGUGCUGUGGCAGCGGCCUUUUUGGUUGCGCUCGGUGCGUGUGCUGUGUGUGCUUGCUGGUGCCCUGUGCUGCGGUGGGACGUCAAGGUCAGUUCGUAUGCUGCGGGAAAUGGCUGCCGAGGAGGUAGGGCUUACGCUCCGCGUUUGUCUGUUAUAUCUUGGUGGACGAGUCGUCGCGGUUGGGACUGAGGUGCCUACAACGUGCUUUUGAGUAGGUCUGUGUCUCCGUGUGCGCCGUGUGCGGAUAGCUUGCUAUGCGUGUGUGGUUGUGUGUGGAUUGAUGCGGGCUUUAACUUGUCGCCGUUCGGGACGUUGACGAAAUGGAGCGAUCCGACCCGUCUUGAAACACGGACCAAGGAGUCUAACAUGUGUGCAAGUGUUAGGGUGUGGAAACCCCAGCGCGAAAUGAAAGUGAAGGGCAGCGCAAGUUGUCUGAGGUAGGAAACGUUGCGGGCUUCGGUCUGCGGCGUGGCACUAUCGACCGAUCAUGAACCUUCGUGGUGAAAGAUUUGAGUUUGAGCACAUAUGUUGGUACCCGAAAGAUGGUGAACUAUGCCUGAGUAGGGUGAAGCCAGGGGAAACUCUGGUGGAAGCUCGUAGCGAUUCUGACGUGCAAAUCGAUCGUCAAACUUGGGUAUAGGGGCGAAAGACUAAUCGAACCAUCUAGUAGCUGGUUCCCUCCGAAAUUUCCCUCAGGAUAGCAGCAACUUAUUUACGAUAGUUUUAUGAGGUAAAGCGAAUGAUUAGAGGAUUCGGGGAAGAAACUUCCUCGACCUAUUCUCAAACUUUAAAUCUGUAAGACCUGCAGGUUUCUUAAUUGAACUUGUGGAUGUGAAUAUCAA